CCUACGGGAGGCAGCAGUGAGGAAUAUUGGUCAAUGGACGAGAGUCUGAACCAGCCAAGUAGCGUGAAGGAUGACUGCCCUAUGGGUUGUAAACUUCUUUUAUAAAGGAAUAAAACGAGGCACGUGUGCCUUUUUGCAUGUACUUUAUGAAUAAGGAUCGGCUAACUCCGUGCCAGCAGCCGCGGUAAUACGGAGGAUCCGAGCGUUAUCCGGAUUUAUUGGGUUUAAAGGGAGCGUAGAUGGGUUGUUAAGUCAGUUGUGAAAGGUUGCGGCUCAACCGUAAAAUUGCAAUUGAUACUGGCAGUCUUGAGUACAGUUGAGGUAGGCGGAAUUCGUGGUGUAGCGGUGAAAUGCUUAGAUAUCACGAAGAACCCCGAUUGCGAAGGCAGCUUACUAAACUGUGACUGAAAUUGAUGCUCGAAAGUGUGGGUAUCAAACAGGAUUAGAUACCCCAGUAGUC
This 460-nucleotide ribosomal RNA is filed under the name uncultured bacterium. RNAcentral describes it as "partial 16S ribosomal RNA". It matches the Rfam family "Bacterial small subunit ribosomal RNA", at positions 338 to 795 of the family's 1533-position model. The record is from RNAcentral.